GACGAACGCUGGCGGCGUGCCUAACACAUGCAAGUCGAGCGGAGUUCACUGGAGGAAGUUUUCGGAUGGAAUCUAAUGAACUUAGCGGCGGACGGGUGAGUAACGCGUGAGCAACCUGCCUUUCACAGGGGGAUAAGGCGGCGAAAGCCGCUCUAAUACCGCAUGAGACCACGGUAUUGAUGAUACAGGGGUCAAAGGAGCAAUCCGGUGGAAGAUGGGCUCGCGUCCGAUUAGGUAGUUGGUGAGGUAACGGCCCACCAAGCCAAUGAUCGGUAGCCGGCCUGAGAGGGUGAACGGCCACAUUGGAACUGAGAUACGGCCCAG
This 324-nucleotide ribosomal RNA is filed under the name uncultured bacterium. RNAcentral describes it as "bacterial SSU rRNA". It matches the Rfam family "Bacterial small subunit ribosomal RNA", at positions 28 to 334 of the family's 1533-position model. The record is from RNAcentral.